Molecule: signal recognition particle RNA, 304 nt
Filed under: Rhinopithecus bieti (black snub-nosed monkey)
Lineage: Eukaryota; Metazoa; Chordata; Mammalia; Primates; Cercopithecidae
Description: Metazoan signal recognition particle RNA (ENSRBIG00000013390.1)
Rfam family: Metazoan signal recognition particle RNA
About the family: The signal recognition particle (SRP) is a universally conserved ribonucleoprotein. It is involved in the co-translational targeting of proteins to membranes.
Source: RNAcentral
GCUGGGCGUAGUGGUGCAUGCCUAUCUAUAGUCCUGGCUUCUUAGGAGGCUGAGGCUGGGGGAAUCACUUGAGCCCGGGAGUUCUGAGCUGUAGUGCGCUGUGCUCAUUGGGUGUCUGCACUAAGUUAGGCAUCAUGUGAUGAACUCCCAGGAGCGGGGGACCAGCGAAGCUUCCUAAGGAGAAGUGAACCGGUUCAGGUCAGAAACAGAGCAGGUUAAAACUCCCAUGCUGAUCAGUAGUGGAAUCACACAUGUGAAGAGCCCCAGCACUCCCACCUGGGCAACAAAGUGAGACCUUGUCUCU